GACUUCCAUCGGAGAAUGAAGAAGAAUUGUACAAUGAUCGAGUGUUGUGGUAGAAUUGGGCGUUGUGACGUCUAAUGCUGAAAGUGAAGGAAAAUUAAAGAAAAAAACUUGCGAAAGGAUGGUACAGUUGUGUAGACCGUAUGGAGAAGGAAUUACUUGUCUCUGUGAUGAAAAAGAUCAUGUUUUAAAAUGUUUUCUGGAAACUUCAAAUCCUACUCCUCAGGAGAUGGGUGAUGGUCUAGGGAUAGAUGGAUGCUGGAAGAGAGCAGAUAAUAGAACAGAAUUAAUCCUGUCUUUGACCCUAGCAGGAACCCUCAUACUAGUCUUUGUUUGGAAGCUGUUUUUCCAAGGCAGGGAAUGCUGCUGCUGCUCCCAGCAUGCUGCUGAAAAUAAGCAGAAACAGAACAGAAUUAUUUUACUUCAUUCAGAGGCACAAA
Eurytemora carolleeae is the source of this 437-nucleotide long non-coding RNA. RefSeq lists it as uncharacterized. Lineage: Eukaryota; Metazoa; Arthropoda; Copepoda; Calanoida; Temoridae. The transcript is spliced from 5 exons. The record is from RefSeq and is a predicted model, not a curated record.